GAAUCUUUCUGAUUCCUGCUGGUCUGGGACAGACAAUUCUAUCCUGUAAGUAGAGGACUAACAGACAGCUGCUUUCCACUUGCCGUGGCGCCUGUCUCUACAGCUCUGCCACACUU
Meriones unguiculatus (Mongolian gerbil) is the source of this 116-nucleotide small nucleolar RNA. RefSeq annotates it as small nucleolar RNA SNORA55. Lineage: Eukaryota; Metazoa; Chordata; Mammalia; Rodentia; Muridae. The transcript has a single exon. The record is from RefSeq and is a predicted model, not a curated record.